UUGAUGGAUAGUAUGAAUGGUAUAACGAAUAUAACACUGUCUCAAAUAAAAAUCUUAUAAAAUUAGAAUAAUAGUAAAGAUACUAUUUUAAACUGUAAGACGAGAAGACCCUAUAGAGCUUAACUAUAACUCUUUAACAAUCAAUAAACUAGUUUAUUAUUAAAAAGAGAUAGGUAGUUUAGUUGGGGCGACUAUUUUCUAGAAUAAACGAAAAUAAACAAAAAUUAAUUGGAAAAAUUUACUGUUUAAUUAAUAAAUUUAACAGUUAUUACAAUAGGUAAUAAUGACCCGUUAACAAUUAAUAAUAAUAUUAACGAUCAAUAAAUAAAAGCUACCUUAGGGAUAACAGGAUAAUUUUGUU
Molecule: ribosomal RNA, 361 nt
Filed under: Zanclea sp. EI020
Lineage: Eukaryota; Metazoa; Cnidaria; Hydrozoa; Anthoathecata; Zancleidae
Also listed under: 1 other name
Description: partial 16S ribosomal RNA
Rfam family: Bacterial large subunit ribosomal RNA
Source: RNAcentral